AAUAAAUUAAUAAUAAUAAAUAUAAGGAUUCUGGGGGAAAUAUAUAUUAAGUCAUUUUGAAGUGAGAAUGGAUUUGAAAAAUAGUCAGGGACAAAAAUUUAGGUAGAAAGGUGGAUCACUGCCGCAUUAAAAUAGAGAAAGAUUACGAAGAACCUAAAUGAAUAACGUAGGAAUGGUUAAAGUGUGAAGCUUAUGUAGAACGAAAUGUUUUCAUAGCUAUUUUAGUGACAUGGGGAAAUACCCAUGACAUAAUUAGGUAGUAAACAGAAUAAUAUACAAAACUGUACAUACAACACAAUCAUGAACAUAAUAAAAUGUGUCUAGAAACAGGAUUAGGAGGAAAAACAACAGAAUAUGAACAGUGAUGGGGAAAUGAAUAUUUUGUAUUUUCUACUUUAUACUCUAUUUCCCAAGUUUUUACAGUGAGCACUUUUAUAAUCAGGUAACGGAAUAACUUUCAUUUUACAUCUUCAAUAUUUGGUUAGUUUGUAUACAUUAUAGUCCAGAAUCCCUGUGAAUGAAAAAGUAUGGGAAAAAUGAAUUCUCGAAAGAGAAAACAUAGCAAGUCUUUAAGAGAAAGUUCGAAGAGAGAGGAAAAUUGCUGUAUUUCUAAUUAGUAGUAACUUGAUAAGUAACUUCCUUGCCUAAACUUUCAAGAAUGUGCAACAAAGCCACGCCCAGAGGUUGCUAUGACUACAGAGGUAAACCUGAGUAGGUCAGCAUUCACCCUGCUUCCAAGGUGAGGCAGGAGAAAGAAUGUGGGCUCUGGAAAGAGACAAAUCCCCCUUUGUACCUCUGCCUUCUCUCCUCCCCCAUCUGACCCUCUUCCCUCCCUCAGCUCUCCCAUUUGCCAUCUCUUCCUCCCCACUUCUUAGCUCCCAGUGCAGUCAAUAGUGUCAAACCUUCCUCUUCCCUCUCUUCCCCUCCUUUCUGGGCCUCCACGGGGUGCUGCAUUUUUCUGAGCACCUUGCUCACAUAAGCUCUGGAAAGCAGGAUUUGUUUCCCACUGGAAACAGGACCUGCCCAUGGCCUUUGUGCAGUAGCGAUCAUGGUGAACACAGAACUGUGCUAUCUGAAGGAAUCCUCGAGGUGCCUCCUCUUCAGUGGAGAGAUCCUUCCAUAGUCUCCUCGACUUAUGACUUCUAGUUAAUAUACUCCUGUGAUGCCUCUGCUUUACUGCAAUAAUCUGUUUAUCCACCUGACGGCUGUUGGGGACUGUGUGGUGAAGUGGAAAAAUGACACUUCGCUCUUGUGUUUCCUGCCUUCAGUACAGCUACUGAGUAAAUAGUUGCUGUUCAAUUGAUACUUCUGAGGCAGAGAAGACAAUUUAUCUACUAAAAGCAUAGCCGCCCUUCAGUGGCUGUAAACUCAGCCACCUGCCUUCUGCUGAUUGGGAUGUCAGCUACAGACUGUGCCUACAGUGGAUGAACAGAACUCCUCUCACUUUGGUGACUCCCCAACCUGCAGCCUGGAUCCGGGCAAGGCUGGAGGCUCAAAGGAGGCUGGGUGGGUUCUUUCUGGUGCUCACAUUCCCUCUGGAGCAGGCCUUAGAAUGUGGGGGCUGAGAAGAGAGAUUCUUUGGAUUGUAAGCUCUUGAAGAGCAGAAACUGAGAAUUAUUCAUCUUUGAAUCCUGAAUGGAUAGCAGAUGCUUGGGACAUGGCAAGUGCUCAAUAAAACUCCCAUGGGUUGCUCAGGA
Non-coding RNA from Equus caballus (horse), 1697 nucleotides. The record is from RefSeq and is a predicted model, not a curated record. NCBI's taxonomy places the organism in Eukaryota, Metazoa, Chordata, Mammalia, Perissodactyla, Equidae.